This 429-nucleotide ribosomal RNA is filed under the name Acidobacteriota bacterium. Its description in RNAcentral is "Acidobacteria bacterium partial 16S ribosomal RNA". It matches the Rfam family "Bacterial small subunit ribosomal RNA", at positions 355 to 776 of the family's 1533-position model. The record is from RNAcentral. Lineage: Bacteria; Pseudomonadati; Acidobacteriota.
UGGGGAAUUUUGGACAAUGGGGGCAACCCUGAUCCAGCAAUGCCGCGUGUGUGAAGAAGGCCUUCGGGUUGUAAAGCACUUUUGUCCGGGAAGAAAUCGCACCUGAUAAUACCGGGUGUGGAUGACGGUACCGGAAGAAUAAGGACCGGCUAACUACGUGCCAGCAGCCGCGGUAAUACGUAGGGUCCAAGCGGUAAUCGGAAUUACUGGGCGUAAAGCGUGCGCAGGCGGUUGUGCAAGACCGAUGUGAAAUCCCCGGGCUUAACCUGGGAAUUGCAUUGGUGACUGCACGGCUAGAGUGUGUCAGAGGGGGGUAGAAUUCCACGUGUAGCAGUGAAAUGCGUAGAGAUGUGGAGGAAUACCGAUGGCGAAGGCAGCCCCCUGGGAUAACACUGACGCUCAUGCACGAAAGCGUGGGGAGCAAACAGG